CCUACGGGAGGCAGCAGUGAUGAAUAUUGGUCAAUGGGCGGGAGCCUGAACCAGCCAAGUCGCGUGAGGGAAGAAGGUACUGAGUAUUGUAAACCUCUUUUGCCAGGGGACAAAGGCGGCCACGGGUGGCCGUAAGAGGGUACCUGGAGAAAAAGCAUAGGCUAACUCCGUGCCAGCAGCCGCGGUAAUACUGAGGAUGCGAGAGUUAUACGGAUUUAUUGGGGUGAAAGGGUGCUCAGGCGGCGUGUCAAGUCAGCGGUAAAAUGGCGGGGCUCGCACCCGGCCGGCCGUUGAAACGGGCGUGCUCGAGUUGGAGAGAAGUAUGCGGAAUUCGUGGUGUAGCGGUGAAAUGCAGAGAUAUCACGAAGAACCCCGAUUGCGAAGGCAGCAUACCGGCUCCACACUGACGCUGAGGCACGAAAGCGUGGGUAUCGAACAGGAUUAGAUACCCGUGUAGUC
RNAcentral lists this ribosomal RNA (459 nucleotides) under uncultured bacterium. RNAcentral's name for it is "partial 16S ribosomal RNA". It matches the Rfam family "Bacterial small subunit ribosomal RNA", at positions 338 to 795 of the family's 1533-position model. The record is from RNAcentral.